This 372-nucleotide ribosomal RNA is filed under the name uncultured organism. RNAcentral's name for it is "bacterial SSU rRNA". It matches the Rfam family "Bacterial small subunit ribosomal RNA", at positions 525 to 896 of the family's 1533-position model. The record is from RNAcentral.
CGAGAGGGUGCAAGCGUUAAUCGGAAUUACGUGGGCGUAAAGCGCGCGUAGGUGGUUUGUUAAGUUGGAUGUGAAAGCCCCGGGCUCAACCUGGGAACUGCAUUCAAAACUGACAAGCUAGAGUAUGGUAGAGGGUGGUGGAAUUUCCUGUGUAGCGGUGAAAUGCGUAGAUAUAGGAAGGAACACCAGUGGCGAAGGCGACCACCUGGACUGAUACUGACACUGAGGUGCGAAAGCGUGGGGAGCAAACAGAUUAGAUACCCUGGUAGUCCACGCCGUAAACGAUGUCAACUAGCCGUUGGGGACCUUGAGUCUUUAGUGGCGCAGCUAACGCAUUAAGUUGACCGCCUGGGGAGUACGGCCGCAAGGUUA